Molecule: ribosomal RNA, 253 nt
Filed under: uncultured bacterium
Lineage: Bacteria
Description: partial 16S ribosomal RNA
Rfam family: Bacterial small subunit ribosomal RNA
Source: RNAcentral
GACAGAGGGUGCAAACGUUGUUCGGAAUUACUGGGCGUAAAGCGCGUGUAGGCGGCUUGGCAAGUCGGGUGUGAAAGCCCCGGGCUCAACCUGGGAAGUGCACUCGAAACUGCUUGGCUUGAGCACUGGAGAGGGAAGCGGAAUUCUCGGUGUAGAGGUGAAAUUCGUAGAUAUCGAGAGGAACACCGGUGGCGAAGGCGGCUUCCUGGACAGUUACUGACGCUGAGACGCGAAAGCGUGGGGAGCAAACAGG